AUCACUUCUUAGCCUUUUGGCUAAGAUCAAGUAUAGUAUCUGUGCUUACAAAACAGGGGUAGCUGGGUGUGGUGGUUUGUGCCAGCUACU
This 90-nucleotide small nuclear RNA is filed under the name Otolemur garnettii (small-eared galago). Its description in RNAcentral is "U2 spliceosomal RNA (ENSOGAG00000023422.1)". It matches the Rfam family "U2 spliceosomal RNA", at positions 1 to 75 of the family's 192-position model. From Rfam's summary of the family: U2 is a small nuclear RNA (snRNA) component of the spliceosome (involved in pre-mRNA splicing). Complementary binding between U2 snRNA (in an area lying towards the 5' end but 3' to hairpin I) and the branchpoint sequence (BPS) of the intron results the bulging out of an unpaired adenosine, on the BPS, which initiates a nucleophilic attack at the intronic 5' splice site, thus starting the first of two transesterification reactions that mediate splicing. The record is from RNAcentral. Lineage: Eukaryota; Metazoa; Chordata; Mammalia; Primates; Galagidae.